AGAGUUUGAUCCUGGCUCAGGAUGAACGCUGGCGGCGUGCUUAACACAUGCAAGUCGAACGAAGCACCUUAUUCUGAUUUCUUCGGAAUGAAAAAUUUGGUGACUGGGUGGCGGACGGGUGAGUAACGCGUGGGUAACCUGCCUCAUACAGGGGGAUAACAGUUAGAAAUGACUGCUAAUACCGCAUAAGACCACAGCACCGCAUGGUGCAGGGGUAAAAACUCCGGUGGUAUGAGAUGGACCCGCGUCUGAUUAGGUAGUUGGUGGGGUAACGGCCUACCAAGCCGACGAUCAGUAGCCGACCUGAGAGGGUGACCGGCCACAUUGGGACUGAGACACGGCCCAAACUCCUACGGGAGGCAGCAGUGGGGAAUAUUGCACAAUGGGGGAAACCCUGAUGCAGCGACGCCGCGUGAGCGAUGAAGUAUUUCGGUAUGUAAAGCUCUAUCAGCAGGGAAGAAAAUGACGGUACCUGACUAAGAAGCACCGGCUAAAUACGUGCCAGCAGCCGCGGUAAUACGUAUGGUGCAAGCGUUAUCCGGAUUUACUGGGUGUAAAGGGAGCGUAGACGGAGUGGCAAGUCUGAUGUGAAAAAACCCCGGGGCUCAACCCCCGGGGACUGCAUUGGAAAACUGUCAAUCUAGAGUACCGGAGAGGUAAGCGGAAUUCCUAGUGUAGCGGUGAAAUGCGUAGAUAUUAGGAGGAACACCAGUGGCGAAGGCGGCUUACUGGACGGUAACUGACGUUGAGGCUCGAAAGCGUGGGGAGCAAACAGGAUUAGAUACCCUGGUAGUCCACGCCGUAAACGAUGAGUACUAGCUGUCGGAGGUUACCCCCUUCGGUGGCGCAGCUAACGCAUUAAGUACUCCGCCUGGGGAGUACGCUCGCAAGAGUGAAACUCAAAGGAAUUGACGGGGACCCGCACAAGUAGCGGAGCAUGUGGUUUAAUUCGAAGCAACGCGAAGAACCUUACCUAAGCUUGACAUCCUUUUGACCGAUGCCUAAUCGCAUCUUUCCCUUCGGGGACAGAAGUGACAGGUGGUGCAUGGUUGUCGUCAGCUCGUGUCGUGAGAUGUUGGGUUAAGUCCCGCAACGAGCGCAACCCUUGCCUUUAGUUGCCAUCAUUAAGUUGGGCACUCUAGAGGGACUGCCAGGGAUAACCUGGAGGAAGGUGGGGAUGACGUUAAAUCAUCAUGCCCCUUAUGCUUAGGGCUACACACGUGCUACAAUGGGUGGUACAGAGGGCAGCGAAGUCGUGAGGCCAAGCUAAUCCCUUAAAGCCAUUCUCAGUUCGGAUUGUAGGCUGAAACUCGCCUACAUGAAGCUGGAGUUACUAGUAAUCGCAGAUCAGAAUGCUGCGGUGAAUGCGUUCCCGGGUCUUGUACUCACCGCCCGUCA
RNAcentral lists this ribosomal RNA (1398 nucleotides) under uncultured bacterium. RNAcentral's name for it is "16S ribosomal RNA". It matches the Rfam family "Bacterial small subunit ribosomal RNA". The record is from RNAcentral.